This 953-nucleotide ribosomal RNA is filed under the name Flavobacterium sp. FGS16-2. RNAcentral describes it as "bacterial SSU rRNA". It matches the Rfam family "Bacterial small subunit ribosomal RNA", at positions 34 to 1006 of the family's 1533-position model. The record is from RNAcentral. Lineage: Bacteria; Pseudomonadati; Bacteroidota; Flavobacteriia; Flavobacteriales; Flavobacteriaceae.
CCCUUUCGGCUGCUUACACAUGCAGUCGAGGGGUAUGUUUCUUCGGAGACAGAGACCGGCGCACGGGUGCGUAACGCGUAUGCAAUCUACCUUUUACAGAGGGAUAGCCCAGAGAAAUUUGGAUUAAUACCUCAUAGUAUAGCAGUUUCGCAUGAAACCACUAUUAAAGUCACAACGGUAAAAGAUGAGCAUGCGUCCCAUUAGCUAGUUGGUAAGGUAACGGCUUACCAAGGCUACGAUGGGUAGGGGUCCUGAGAGGGAGAUCCCCCACACUGGUACUGAGACACGGACCAGACUCCUACGGGAGGCAGCAGUGAGGAAUAUUGGACAAUGGGCGCAAGCCUGAUCCAGCCAUGCCGCGUGCAGGAUGACGGUCCUAUGGAUUGUAAACUGCUUUUAUACGAGAAGAAACAUCCCGACGUGUCGGGACUUGACGGUAUCGUAAGAAUAAGGAUCGGCUAACUCCGUGCCAGCAGCCGCGGUAAUACGGAGGAUCCAAGCGUUAUCCGGAAUCAUUGGGUUUAAAGGGUCCGUAGGCGGUUUAAUAAGUCAGUGGUGAAAGCCCAUCGCUCAACGGUGGAACGGCCAUUGAUACUGUUAAACUUGAAUUAUUAGGAAGUAACUAGAAUAUGUAGUGUAGCGGUGAAAUGCUUAGAGAUUACAUGGAAUACCAAUUGCGAAGGCAGGUUACUACUAAUGGAUUGACGCUGAUGGACGAAAGCGUGGGUAGCGAACAGGAUUAGAUACCCUGGUAGUCCACGCCGUAACGAUGGAUACUAGCUGUUGGAAGCAAUUUCAGUGGCUAAGCGAAAGUGAUAAGUAUCCCACCUGGGGAGUACGUUCGCAGAUGAAACUCAAAGAUGACGGGGCCCCGCCACAAGCCGGUGGAGCAUGUGAUUAAUCGAUGAUACCGAAGACUACCAAGGCCUUAAAUUGUGUGAUGAAAUUUGAUA